This 1314-nucleotide unclassified non-coding RNA is filed under the name Hevea brasiliensis (rubber tree). The record is from RNAcentral. Lineage: Eukaryota; Viridiplantae; Streptophyta; Magnoliopsida; Malpighiales; Euphorbiaceae.
GCUCACCUUAGGCAAAUGCAAUACACAUAAAACAACUUAAAAACAAAAGUAAUAAACAGUUACAACAUCCAAUUCCAUGCAAUAGCCAUGUCGCUUAUUCCAACAUGACAGAGAGAUACAAAUACUCACAAACUAGAAGAACAAAUAGAGGAUGUAAUAGGAUUAUCAGAAGCAAAUCAUGAUGUUUGUAUUUGCACGUUUCAGUUCGUCUUUUGCUAUGUAUCAGCCUUAUCAACCAGAAUACCCUCUGGCCCAUUGCCCACUCCACCAGUGCAAUCUCAAGUGCAAUGAAAGUAGAAGUUGCAAAAUAGAAUGGACGACGAAUGGGAUUAAUGCUCCACAAUGAAAGCUAACAAUUGUUCUAUUCAAAUUUUCAUUUUAGACACCAAACUGUAAACAUUUGUCCCACAUUCUACUGCAACAUUGAACCUAGUAGAAUUUCUCAUAGAUGCCAGAGUUUCCCAUAAAUCUUAGAAGCAAAUUACUUGCCUCUGCCAAACAAUCGUUACAGUAUACAGAUCCAGCAAACAAGAAAAACCAUGCCACUUUUAAUUGAAAUUGCUACCACAAUUUUGAAGUGCAAACUUGGGCCAACAAAUUCAGAGGCAGUCUUUACAUACCUAAGCCCAUCAAUUCUUGCAAUGUCUUCAAGAGUGAAACACUUGUACAUUUAAAGAGACACCCAGUUUAAAACACAAAGUGCCUUUCUAAGAACACAAAUCAAACUUGAAAAACGCACUGAUAUAAUUUGUAUUGUUUAACACAUUUCUGCCAUUUAUCAUCAUCCUAUAAAAUAAUGACUCUUUAACUGUGGAUAUUCAUUCUAAGUUGCAAUAAGAUAAUUAUGACCUUCACACAUUUACAUGAUGCUCUAACCAUUUGAGCUAAUCUAUAUGGUAAAAUAACUACUCUCUUUAUUUAAGUUUAAAUCUUCCCAUAUUCAGGAAAUAAUUAUAUUUCCAAUUAAAUAAAUGUGUGCCUCACCUCAUUCAGCUACACAGUUGCACUUUAAAGGUACACAACACAAGACUCUUACAUUUAAGUGUAACUUGAGGUCUGAAAUGUUAUGCUCAUUCCAGUGCCAGUGAAAUUUUCUCAACCAGAACACACAUCAUUAGCAAACUAUGUCAGUCUAUUCACAAUAAUGCCUCCAAGAAAACAAGCAAAAACAGUAGCUUUACACUACCAUAUAAAAUGUGCGAAGUGAUCUCAUGCUUCAACUCAAAGUAGAACUAAUUUGGAAGUAUAAUACUUUGCAACCAAUAUAAUUUAACUUCAUAUUAGAAUUUAUAUCAGCACAUAAUUCUUGACAAA